This 433-nucleotide ribosomal RNA is filed under the name uncultured bacterium. RNAcentral's name for it is "partial 16S ribosomal RNA". It matches the Rfam family "Bacterial small subunit ribosomal RNA", at positions 29 to 507 of the family's 1533-position model. The record is from RNAcentral.
AACGAACGCUGGCGGCAUGCCUAACACAUGCAAGUCGAACGAAGGCUUCGGCCUUAGUGGCGCACGGGUGCGUAACGCGUGGGAAACUGCCCUUUGGUUCGGAAUAACAGCUGGAAACGGCUGCUAAUACCGGAUGAUGACGAAAGUCCAAAGAUUUAUCGCCAGAGGAUGAGCCCGCGUUGGAUUAGGUAGUUGGUGGGGUAAAGGCCUACCAAGCCGACGAUCCAUAGCUGGUCUGAGAGGAUGAUCAGCCACACUGGGACUGAGACACGGCCCAGACUCCUACGGGAGGCAGCAGUGGGGAAUAUUGGACAAUGGGCGCAAGCCUGAUCCAGCAAUGCCGCGUGAGUGAUGAAGGCCCUAGGGUUGUAAAGCUCUUUUACCCGGGAAGAUAAUGACUGUACCGGGAGAAUAAGCCCCGGCUAACUCCGUG